UGGGGAAUAUUGCACAAUGGGCGCAAGCCUGAUGCAGCCAUGCCGCGUGUAUGAAGAAGGCCUUCGGGUUGUAAAGUACUUUCAGCGGGGAGGAAGGGAGUAAAGUUAAUACCUUUGCUCAUUGACGUUACCCGCAGAAGAAGCACCGGCUAACUCCGUGCCAGCAGCCGCGGUAAUACGGAGGGUGCAAGCGUUAAUCGGAAUUACUGGGCGUAAAGCGCACGCAGGCGGUCUGUCAAGUCGGAUGUGAAAUCCCCGGGCUCAACCUGGGAACUGCAUUCGAAACUGGCAGGCUAGAGUCUUGUAGAGGGGGGUAGAAUUCCAGGUGUGGCGGUGAAAUGCGUAGAGAUCUGGAGGAAUACCGGUGGCGAAGGCGGCCCCCUGGACAAAGACUGACGCUCAGGUGCGAAAGCGUGGGGAGCAAACAGG
This 429-nucleotide ribosomal RNA is filed under the name Chloroflexota bacterium. Its description in RNAcentral is "Chloroflexi bacterium partial 16S ribosomal RNA". It matches the Rfam family "Bacterial small subunit ribosomal RNA", at positions 355 to 776 of the family's 1533-position model. The record is from RNAcentral. Lineage: Bacteria; Bacillati; Chloroflexota.